GCCCAGACUCCUACGGGAGGCAGCAGUGGGGAAUCUUCCGCAAUGGGCGAAAGCCUGACGGAGCAACGCCGCGUGAUCGAAUGAAGGCCUUCGGGUUGUAAAGAUCUGUUGACAGGGACGAAUAAGCCAUGCGAAUAGUUUGGUGUAUGACGGUACCUGUUUAGAAAGCCCCGGCUAACUACGUGCCAGCAGCCGCGGUAAUACGUAGGGGGCAAGCGUUAUCCGGAAUCACUGGGUGUAAAGGGAGCGUAGACGGCUGAGCAAGCCUGAAGUGAAAGGCGGGGGCCCAACCCCCGGACUGCUUUGGGAACUGUACGGCUGGAGUGCAGGAGAGGUAAGUGGAAUUCCUAGUGUAGCGGUGAAAUGCGUAGAUAUUAGGAGGAACACCAGUGGCGAAGGCGGCUUACUGGACUGUAACUGACGUUGAGGCUCGAAAGCGUGGGGAGCAAACAGGAUUAGAUACCCUUGUAGG
This 472-nucleotide ribosomal RNA is filed under the name uncultured bacterium. Its description in RNAcentral is "bacterial SSU rRNA". It matches the Rfam family "Bacterial small subunit ribosomal RNA", at positions 329 to 794 of the family's 1533-position model. The record is from RNAcentral.